Molecule: unclassified non-coding RNA, 18 nt
Filed under: Bombyx mori cypovirus 1
Lineage: Riboviria; Orthornavirae; Duplornaviricota; Resentoviricetes; Reovirales; Spinareoviridae
Also listed under: 1 other name
Description: Transcript RNA (5'-R(P*UP*UP*UP*UP*UP*UP*UP*UP*UP*UP*UP*UP*UP*UP*UP*UP*UP*U)-3') from Bombyx mori cypovirus 1 (PDB 6TZ2, chain M)
Source: RNAcentral
UUUUUUUUUUUUUUUUUU